GACGAACGCUGGCGGCGUGCUUAACACAUGCAAGUCGAACGGAAAGGCCCUGCUUUUGUGGGGUGCUCGAGUGGCGAACGGGUGAGUAACACGUGAGUAACCUGCCCUUGACUUUGGGAUAACUUCAGGAAACUGGGGCUAUUACCGGAUAGGAGCUCCUGCUGCAUGGUGGGGGUUGGAAAGUUUCGGCGGUUGGGGAUGGACUCGCGGCUUAUCAGCUUGUUGGUGGGGUAGUGGCUUACCAAGGCUUCGACGGGUAGCCGGCCUGAGAGGGUGACCGGCCACAUUGGGACUGAGAUACGGCCCAGACUCCUACGGGAGGCAGCAGUGGGGAAUAUUGCACAAUGGGCGGAAGCCUGAUGCAGCAACGCCGCGUGCGGGAUGACGGCCUUCGGGUUGUAAACCGCUUUCGCCUGUGACGAAGCGUGAGUGACGGUAAUGGGUAAAGAAGCACCGGCUAACUACGUG
Molecule: ribosomal RNA, 468 nt
Filed under: uncultured bacterium
Lineage: Bacteria
Description: partial 16S ribosomal RNA
Rfam family: Bacterial small subunit ribosomal RNA
Source: RNAcentral